UUGAACAUGGAAACUUGCUUUGCUUCGAGAAACCAGUGAAUGAAAUAUUAAGAUAUGCAGCCAUGCAUGGAAGGUAAGCAAGUUGUUAGGAGAAGCAGAGCAAACCGUUUCUCCUAGCAAUUUAAUUUCCUCUGGAUGGGAAGGAACUUCAUUCUACUAACCUGGCAUUCAAGCCACCAGCAAAUUCAACGACAACUGAAGAUCAAGGAGCUUUCUAAGACUGGGAAGAUAGUCGCAUCCAAAUCAGGCUGAACCUCAAUCUCCAAGCCCAGUUUCAUAUUUCCCAACAGUGCCACUGUCUUGUCUGGAUUUAACUUCAACUUGUU
Non-coding RNA from Pantherophis guttatus, 326 nucleotides. NCBI's taxonomy places the organism in Eukaryota, Metazoa, Chordata, Lepidosauria, Squamata, Colubridae. The record is from RefSeq and is a predicted model, not a curated record.